UCGAGGGGUAUAGUUCUUCGGAACUAGAGACCGGCGCACGGGUGCGUAACGCGUAUGCAACCUACCUUUCACAGGGGGAUAGCCCAGAGAAAUUUGGAUUAAUACCCCAUGGUAUAAUUGGAUGGCAUCAUUUGAUUAUUAAAGUCACAACGGUGAAAGAUGGGCAUGCGUCCCAUUAGCUAGAUGGUAAGGUAACGGCUUACCAUGGCAACGAUGGGUAGGGGUCCUGAGAGGGAGAUCCCCCACACUGGUACUGAGACACGGACCAGACUCCUACGGGAGGCAGCAGUGAGGAAUAUUGGACAAUGGGCGCAAGCCUGAUCCAGCCAUGCCGCGUGCAGGAUGACGGUCCUAUGGAUUGUAAACUGCUUUUAUACGGGAAGAAACCCUCUUUCGUGAAAGAGAUUGACGGUACCGUAAGAAUAAGGAUCGGCUAACUCCGUGCCAGCAGCCGCGGUAAUACGGAGGAUCCAAGCGUUAUCCGGAAUCAUUGGGUUUAAAGGGUCCGUAGGCGGCCUUAUAAGUCAGUGGUGAAAUCUCCCGGCUCAACCGGGAAAUUGCCAUUGAUACUGUAGGGCUUGAAUUAUUAGGAAGUAA
Molecule: ribosomal RNA, 597 nt
Filed under: uncultured Bacteroidota bacterium
Lineage: Bacteria; Pseudomonadati; Bacteroidota
Description: bacterial SSU rRNA
Rfam family: Bacterial small subunit ribosomal RNA
Source: RNAcentral